GUAGGUGAACCUGCGGAAGGAUCAUUAUUGAAUAUUCUUGAUGGGUUGUAGCUGGCUCUCCGGGGCAUGUGCACACUUGUCUUGACUUUAUUCGUCCACCUGUGCACCUUUUGUAGUCUUGGGGGUUGAGAGCAAGUCGACUAUCGGAUGGCUAAGGCCUUUCCGGACGUGAGGAUUGCUGAGUGCGAAAGCAUACAGCUCUUCUUAAAUGACUUGUAAUACCUCUCCCUCGAGUACUAUGUAUUCAUAU
This 250-nucleotide unclassified non-coding RNA is filed under the name plant metagenome. Its description in RNAcentral is "partial contains small subunit ribosomal RNA, internal transcribed spacer 1, and 5.8S ribosomal RNA". The record is from RNAcentral.